Molecule: transfer RNA, 86 nt
Filed under: bovine gut metagenome
Rfam family: tRNA
About the family: Transfer RNA (tRNA) molecules are approximately 80 nucleotides in length. Their secondary structure includes four short double-helical elements and three loops (D, anti-codon, and T loops). Further hydrogen bonds mediate the characteristic L-shaped molecular structure. tRNAs have two regions of fundamental functional importance: the anti-codon, which is responsible for specific mRNA codon recognition, and the 3' end, to which the tRNAs corresponding amino acid is attached (by aminoacyl-tRNA synthetases). tRNAs cope with the degeneracy of the genetic code in two manners: having more than one tRNA (with a specific anti-codon) for a particular amino acid; and 'wobble' base-pairing, i.e. permitting non-standard base-pairing at the 3rd anti-codon position.
Source: RNAcentral
GAGAAGUGGCAGAGUGGUCGAAUGCGGCAGACUCGAAAUCUGUUAUAGGGUUUUUCUCUAUCGGGGGUUCAAAUCCCUCCUUCUCC